RNAcentral lists this ribosomal RNA (506 nucleotides) under uncultured bacterium. RNAcentral's name for it is "partial 16S ribosomal RNA". It matches the Rfam family "Bacterial small subunit ribosomal RNA", at positions 29 to 523 of the family's 1533-position model. The record is from RNAcentral.
AGUGAACGCUGGCGGUAGGCCUAACACAUGCAAGUCGAACGGCAGCACAGGAGAGCUUGCUCUCUGGGUGGCGAGUGGCGGACGGGUGAGGAAUACAUCGGAAUCUACCCUGUCGUGGGGGAUAACGUAGGGAAACUUACGCUAAUACCGCAUACGACCUACGGGUGAAAGCAGGGGACCUUCGGGCCUUGCGCGAUUGAAUGAGCCGAUGUCGGAUUAGCUAGUUGGCGGGGUAAAGGCCCACCAAGGCGACGAUCCGUAGCUGGUCUGAGAGGAUGAUCAGCCACACUGGAACUGAGACACGGUCCAGGCUCCUACGGGAGGCGGCAGUGGGGAAUAUUGGACAAUGGGCGCAAGCCUGAUCCAGCCAUACCGCGUGGGUGAAGAAGGCCUUCGGGUUGUAAAGCCCUUUUGUUGGGAAAGAAAUCCAGCUGGCUAAUACCCGGUUGGGAUGACGGUACCCAAAGAAUAAGCACCGGCUAACUUCGUGCCAGCCGCCGCCGUAA